Molecule: long non-coding RNA, 2038 nt
Organism: Prinia subflava (tawny-flanked prinia)
Lineage: Eukaryota; Metazoa; Chordata; Aves; Passeriformes; Cisticolidae
Exons: 5
Source: RefSeq, a predicted model, not a curated record
UGGCCAUUUGACAGAUCAAUUAGCAACUGCCUCAUACAUGAGCAAUAAAACCUUUCACAGGAAAAGUUUCCCCCGGGCUGAAAAGUGCUUUUCUGUCCUUCUGAAGUGGGAGGAAAGGCCAGGUGGCUUCUCAAACCAGAUGCCGAUGGCUCCGUGUUGCCUUUGCUGCUGGACUCCAAAUCCCACCUGACACAACACUGGUGACAGAGGGACACAUGGCAUUGUGCAGCACCACACAUUGUCUUCUCAAGCUUCCCAAAGGGCUCAGAGAGGUUUUAAGAGAUAAAGCCCAGCAGGUGGGAAGGAAGAGACGGAGCAGGGCAGUUUUUCAUUCUUCCGCUUGACUUUGGGACAAAUGUCACACAGGAGACUUGAGGCCAUGCACUGACCCACUUGUUUGCUGUCAACAGCCAUUCCCACAUGCAGCGUCUUGGGAUCAAACUCUGCAGCUUUUCCCUGUGAUGGUCCAGACCACAGAAGGUUCUUGACUUGGGCAGAUGCAGAACUGCACGCAUGGAACAAUAACCCACCCCCAGUCUGGCAGUGCAUCAACAGAUAUCAGACUACAAAGGGACGGUAUUUCCUUUGGUCUUUUUCUGUGUGAGCCACAUGGCUUCCCAGGCCCCUCAGCAGGAACCACCCAGAUAUCAGUGGAGUUUCUGUGAUUCUUCUUCAUUCCCAUUUGUGUUCUCUUCUGCUGCCCUUAAUGCCAGCACAGGACUAAGACCAGUGGCACCUGGGAAGAGGAUCACACUGCUGGCAAGCUCAGAGCUCACAGGGGUGAGCUCCCAUCUCUGCUCUGUGCUCCAAGACCGGGGGAUGGAUGGAACCAACUCUGCCUCGCUGCUGAACUGGGGAAAGGGGAGGCAGCAGCAGGAAUUUUGGGGAAAAAAGAAAAAAAAAAACAACACACAGGGUGAGAUGCUGAUGAAAACACCUAGGAGUGGACAAGGCAGCUGCAGCCACAAGACCUCUGAUAAAACUUUGGGGCUUGCUCUGCUAGACAAAGGACAGCAGCUUUGCAGUUCAAGAAGGAACUCUUUUUAUCCUGCUUUUUGCUCCUCCAUGCCUUUACUUUUUCCCCCAGCUAAUGCUCAGGGAAGGUGAGCCAGUCUGGAGCCACUGUGAAGGGGUUUUGUUUCCUUGCUUGCUGGAGCUGAGUGAAGGCUGUUUCAUCUCAACAGGCUGCUCCCAACACCCCUUAAUUUGAGAACUCCUGCAUGCAGGAAGCAAUGGAGUUGAGUGACCUUGCUGAAUCCCGGCCGCUGCAGCUGCCGGAGAACAGGGGAGGAAAAGAAAAGAGGGGAGGAGGAAGAGGCACUUUGCUGUCUCCCAUUAAAGCCCCAAGAGGCUGAAGAUGAGAGAGCGGAAGUUUCAAAUUGCCAGAACGUAAUUCUGAAAGUCAUUUUCCAAGCGCAGAGCUCUCUGCAAUGUCACCUCUCAUCUUCCAAGGUGGGGAUUGAAGGGACAAUAAAGCACAGAAUAUUCUGCAAAGGCAGAGCUGCUAAUUCAAAGAGGGAAGAGGUGCCAGUCCCCAAAGGGGCUGUGUCACACCCCUUUCUGCUGGAGGGCUGUGCUGAUGUCGCUGUACAAGGGGCCCAGCUCCAGCUCCUUUCCUGAACCAUAUCCAGCCUGGAUGCAGGAUCCAACUGCCUUAUCCAGGCCCUUCUAAAAGUAAGGAUCUCAAAAGAACUCCCCCUAUUCAACAGUUGUAUUUUUAAUUUGACUUAAACUCCUGACUUUCAAUCCAAUGGCAAUGGUAAUGAUUACUGUGCUGGUUAUUUUCUCAGACCUCCCUGAGACCAGCAGAAGACCAUGAUGGAUGUGUAAAAGAAAAGGUGCACUUUGCUAUUCACACUGCCCUGCCCCAACCCAGCAAAACUAUCCAUCCCUGCUCCUUCUUCCAGCCCUCUGCCUGCCAAGAAAUCUGAAUUAAGGAGUUAAAUGUAUUCAACAAAGAGUUUGGUCCAGUGUCUUACCUCAAAGAGUGAGUUGUCUUCCUUUUCUGCACACUUUGUCAACCUUUAUUCUAACUGCA